AGAGUUUGAUCAUGGCUCAGGAUGAACGCUAGCGGCAGGCCUAACACAUGCAAGUCGAACGGUAACAUAAGGGUGCUUGCACUUUGAUGACGAGUGGCGCACGGGUGCGUAACGCGUAUAGAACCUACCCUGUACAGGGGGAUAGCCCAGAGAAAUUUGGAUUAAUACCCCGUAGUAACUUGAUAUGGCAUCAUAUUAAGUUUAAAGUUUUCGGAUGGUACAGGAUGGCUAUGCGUCCUAUUAGUUAGAUGGUGAGGUAACGGCUCACCAUGGCAGCGAUAGGUAGGGGCCCUGAGAGGGGGAUCCCCCACACUGGUACUGAGACACGGACCAGACUCCUACGGGAGGCAGCAGUGAGGAAUAUUGGACAAUGGGCUAAAGCCUGAUCCAGCCAUGCCGCGUGCAGGAAGACGGCCCUAUGGGUUGUAAACUGCUUUUAUACGGGAAGAAUAAGGGACACGUGUGUCCUGGUGACGGUACCGUAAGAAUAAGGACCGGCUAACUCCGUGCCAGCAGCCGCGGUAAUACGGAGGGUCCGAGCGUUAUCCGGAAUUAUUGGGUUUAAAGGGUCCGCAGGCGGGCAAUUAAGUCAGGGGUGAAAUGGUGCGGCUCAACCGUAGCACUGCCCUUGAUACUGGUUGUCUUGAGUCAUAGUGAAGUGGCCGGAAUAUGUAGUGUAGCGGUGAAAUGCAUAGAUAUUACAUAGAACACCGAUUGCGAAGGCAGGUCACUAACUAUCGACUGACGCUGAUGGACGAAAGCGUGGGGAGCGAACGGGAUUAGAUACCCCGGUAGUCCACGCCGUAAACGAUGGAUACUAGCUGUCCGGCACCUUGAGUGCUGGGCGGCCAAGCGAAAGUGAUAAGUAUCCCACCUGGGGAGUACGUUCGCAAGAAUGAAACUCAAAUGAAUUGACGG
RNAcentral lists this ribosomal RNA (918 nucleotides) under uncultured bacterium. Its description in RNAcentral is "bacterial SSU rRNA". It matches the Rfam family "Bacterial small subunit ribosomal RNA", at positions 8 to 916 of the family's 1533-position model. The record is from RNAcentral.